GUCUACGGCCAUGCCACCCUGAACGAGCCCGAUCCCGUCUGAUCUCGGAAGCUAAGCAGGGUCGGGCCUGGUUAGUACUUGGAUGGGAGACCACCUGGGAAGACCAGAUGCUGUAGGUG
RNAcentral lists this ribosomal RNA (119 nucleotides) under Pteropus alecto (black flying fox). Lineage: Eukaryota; Metazoa; Chordata; Mammalia; Chiroptera; Pteropodidae. The record is from RNAcentral.